This 349-nucleotide long non-coding RNA is filed under the name Elaeis guineensis (African oil palm). RNAcentral describes it as "long non-coding RNA (EGUI_LNC030455)". Lineage: Eukaryota; Viridiplantae; Streptophyta; Magnoliopsida; Arecales; Arecaceae. The record is from RNAcentral.
AGAUAAUAACAAUGAAUCUUGGUUACGGAAAGCGAGUCAAAAGGGACAUCACAACAAUGAGACCUAGUGAAAAUCAGUAAUCGGUCAGCGUGGAGAUGAAUGGAAUGAGAACCGAAUGAGCUAGCAAAGGAUGGCAUAUAGAUUUGAUCGAGUGGUGAUUGAACGAGAACAGACCGAGUGGUUAUAUAAACUCGGAUGCAGGUGCGGGCCAAAGAUGAAAUUUGUUGUUCGAGUCUAACAGCAGAGUACCAAUCAACCGCAAUCUAAGGACAUGCUACCAUGACAAGACAUGACUGAUCGUGAGAAGUUAGAUGGAUAGAUGAAGGCUUUAAUAAAAACCAUCAAAGAA